This 478-nucleotide long non-coding RNA is filed under the name Olea europaea subsp. europaea. Lineage: Eukaryota; Viridiplantae; Streptophyta; Magnoliopsida; Lamiales; Oleaceae. The record is from RNAcentral.
UUAAACAGGGUUUCUUUUUGGCAGUCGAAAUAUUUAUCUCUUCCGAAGUUGCCGUUUGCAGCAGUUUUUGAACCUUUCUGGUGGAAAUGCCAUUAGGGUUUUUUUACAGGGACGGCAUUUUUUGGCUGCUAGCUGAAGCUUUUUUUUAACAAAUCUGGCCAUGGUGGAAGCUUGAGGAUUGGCUAAAAUGGGGGAUCGAAGAUGGAACUGAAGUGAUUGAGCUAAAUUGGUGGCAAAGAAUUAACCUUAUAUACAGUGUAAAGGGCUCUGAUAUUGCAUCUUAAUCAGCAUGUAUAAUGUUGUAUUCCAAUAAUGUACUUACUUUCGUAUUUGUAUGAUGUACCAAAAUAAAAGGGUGAUGGUUGCAUCCCUCUCUAAUAAAAGAAUUGUUCUUUUCAUUUCAUUUGACUUUCGAUAUGUUAAUUAUGAAUUAGGGUAGUACCAAUAUCCACGUGUCGUAAAUAACUCAUUCGCCGUG